GUUAUAAUAGUUUAAUAAACAUUGGUCUUGUAAACCAAAAUUAAAUAUAAUUUAUAUUUUUAUAACU
Molecule: transfer RNA, 67 nt
Filed under: Bolitaena pygmaea
Lineage: Eukaryota; Metazoa; Mollusca; Cephalopoda; Octopoda; Bolitaenidae
Description: tRNA-Thr
Source: RNAcentral